UUUGCAGAGGAUGCUUUGGAUUUUGUUGUUUCGCAAGUCCUCUGGAAAGANNNCCCNNGGAGAGUGAAAGGCUCGUUCCGAAACAAGCAAUUUCCGUGUAAAGCUCCUUCGAAGAGUCGAGUUGUUUGGGAAUGCAGCUCUAAACGGGACGUAAAUUUGUUCCAAGGCUAAAUACCGGCUAGAGACCGAUAGCGCACAAGUAGAGUGAUCGAAAGAUGAAAAGCACUUUGAAAAGAGGGUUAAACAGUACGUGAAAUUGUUGAAAGGGAAGCGCAUAGCGCCAGACAUGGUUGCCAAGUUCAGCCUUACGGUGUAUUCUUGGUGAGCCAGGCCAGCAUCAGUUUGUGGAGCCGGAUAAAGACGGCCGG
RNAcentral lists this ribosomal RNA (368 nucleotides) under Polypyrenula sexlocularis. Its description in RNAcentral is "partial large subunit ribosomal RNA". It matches the Rfam family "Eukaryotic large subunit ribosomal RNA", at positions 149 to 532 of the family's 3401-position model. Lineage: Eukaryota; Fungi; Ascomycota; Dothideomycetes; Trypetheliales; Trypetheliaceae. The record is from RNAcentral.